Molecule: ribosomal RNA, 662 nt
Filed under: uncultured cyanobacterium
Lineage: Bacteria; Bacillati; Cyanobacteriota
Description: bacterial SSU rRNA
Rfam family: Bacterial small subunit ribosomal RNA
Source: RNAcentral
CGGACGGGUGAGUAACGCGUGAGAAUCUGCCUUCAGGUCGGGGAUAACAGCUGGAAACGGCUGCUAAUACCGGAUGAGCCGAGAGGUAAAAGCAAAAGUGCCUGAAGAUGAGCUCGCGUCUGAUUAGCUAGUUGGUGGGGUAAGAGCCUACCAAGGCGACGAUCAGUAGCUGGUCUGAGAGGAUGAUCAGCCACACUGGGACUGAGACACGGCCCAGACUCCUACGGGAGGCAGCAGUGGGGAAUUUUCCGCAAUGGGCGCAAGCCUGACGGAGCAAUACCGCGUGAGGGAGGAAGGCCCUUGGGUUGUAAACCUCUUUUGUCAGGGAAGAAGGUCUGACGGUACCUGACGAAUCAGCAUCGGCUAACUCCGUGCCAGCAGCCGCGGUAAUACGGAGGAUGCAAGCGUUAUCCGGAUUUAUUGGGCGUAAAGGGUCCGCAGGUGGUUAUUCAAGUCUGCUGUCAAAGCGCGGAGCUUAACUCCGUACAGGCGGUGGAAACUGAGGAACUAGAGUCUGGUAGGGGUCGCGGGAAUUCCCAGUGUAGCGGUGAAAUGCGUAGAUAUUGGGAAGAACACCGGCGGCGAAAGCGCGCGACUGGACCGGAACUGACACUGAGGGGCGAAAGCUAGGGGAGCGAAAGGGAUUAGAUACCCCUGUAGUC